GACCUGGUGGUGAAAGGCAUCACAUCCACAUUGCUUGGGUGUGUUCUGAUAUGUUAUUUGUGGGAAUCCCUGGUUCGAAUCCGGGCCAGGUCA
Molecule: non-coding RNA, 93 nt
Organism: Mycena leptocephala
Lineage: Eukaryota; Fungi; Basidiomycota; Agaricomycetes; Agaricales; Mycenaceae
Source: the annotation of a GenBank genome assembly